Molecule: long non-coding RNA, 1282 nt
Organism: Alligator sinensis (Chinese alligator)
Lineage: Eukaryota; Metazoa; Chordata; Crocodylia; Alligatoridae
Exons: 7
Source: RefSeq, a predicted model, not a curated record
UUUGCGCACUAUAAAUCCUCCCUUCCCGGCAGUCUCAGUCUUUUCCGCUGUGGCGGCGGUUUGCAGACGGUGGCACUCUACACACAAACUCUGCAGAUCUCAAAGUGAACGUUUGUGCCAUUGGGUUCCUGUGAAGUGAUUUCCCCGCUGGAGCCAGUGCCAUGAACCCUGUGAUCAGAGUCCAGCAUAUACCUACAUCCACCUCAGUUUGCAGACGGUGGCACUCUACACACAAAGUUCAGAUGCUACAUGGCACCACGCAAGGACUGCAUGAGGAGAUGCCAGUUGUCAAACGUGACAGAUGGAGAAGACCAGAUUUGGAGAGGUGAUUAACACUCCAGGGGAUAAGUCUGAUGACAGCCCUGGGACACGAAGCCUCUUCAGAUACCAUGGCAAAAAGCUGGGCAGCCGAACGUAAGCCUGGGAAAAUCGGCGCCGAGGAUGAGCGACGGUCCAAGCACACCAGAGAAACCCACCAUGAUGCUAGGUGUGAGCAAGAUGGGUGCCCAGAAGACUGAGCCUUGAGCAGAGGCGACCAUGACCUGAUACUUUUGGGGAACUUCAGGGACAGGUCCAAGGGAUAUGCAGAAGAUGGACAAUGUGGUAAAUUGAAGCAACCGGUAAGGAGGUUCAGCCUCCCACUUUGUCUCCAGGUUCCUUGCCAAGCGUCUCAGAAGAUGUCAGUCCCAUUAUGGACUUGUAUUUUAAUCCUUUACAUUAAUGCGAUGAGCAUAAUACAUUCCCUAAAGUGAGACGCUAACGCCUUAGCAUCAAGAUUUAGCUCCGGGAAUAGGAGUUGUGGACCCAGUUGGGCUCAGUGAAAAUGUGUUAAUAAGAAACGAAGAGGCAGAGAUGGUGAAAUCGAAACAAAGCUGUAUGGACUUGUGCUUACUUUUUAUUUGUGCUCAGCUGAUUGAAGUAAAGCUGUGGCUUACCUCGUGUGGGUUUUAACUUGACCAACUGUAGCACAAAGUCUCAUCUACACUGGAGUGGGGUGGGGGUGGCCACUAGCAAAUGCAACCUAACAGCCUGCCUGGGCUCUCCAGAGAGCCUUGGCAAACAAACGUAAAAGGGAGAUAAAUGGGGGGAAUGAACAGAUUUUGGUGCAGUGGUUCUGCGUCAUGAGAGUAAUGGUGGAACUUGAAGCCAGUCUCGUGGUAGCCAGUCUCAUCUAUAGUUUGUGGCAUUUAAAGGACAAAUACCUGUUAAGGAAGGCCUGAAAAUUCCUCAAAGAAUGUUCUGAAAACUGUCUGGUGAAUAAAGGAACUGGUUUUAAAGUGUU